This 628-nucleotide ribosomal RNA is filed under the name uncultured bacterium. RNAcentral's name for it is "bacterial SSU rRNA". It matches the Rfam family "Bacterial small subunit ribosomal RNA", at positions 133 to 746 of the family's 1533-position model. The record is from RNAcentral.
GAAGCGGGGGACAACAUUUGGAAACAGAUGCUAAUACCGCAUAACAGCGUUGUUCGCAUGAACAACGCUUAAAAGAUGGCUUCUCGCUAUCACUUCUGGAUGGACCUGCGGUGCAUUAGCUUGUUGGUGGGGUAAUGGCCUACCAAGGCGAUGAUGCAUAGCCGAGUUGAGAGACUGAUCGGCCACAAUGGGACUGAGACACGGCCCAUACUCCUACGGGAGGCAGCAGUAGGGAAUCUUCCACAAUGGGCGCAAGCCUGAUGGAGCAACACCGCGUGAGUGAAGAAGGGUUUUUGCUCGUAAAGCUCUGUUGUUAAAGAAGAACACGUAUGAGAGUAACUGUUCAUACGUUGACGGUAUUUAACCAGAAAGUCACGGCUAACUACGUGCCAGCAGCCGCGGUAGUACGUAGGUGGCAAGCGUUAUCCGGAUUUAUUGGGCGUAAAGAGAGUGCAGGCGGUUUUCUAAGUCUGAUGUGAAAGCCUUCGGCUUAACCGGAGAAGUGCAUCGGAAACUGGAUAACUUGAGUGCAGAAGAGGGUAGUGGAACUCCAUGUGUAGCGGUGGAAUGCGUAGAUAUAUGGAAGAACACCAGUGGCGAAGGCGGCUACCUGGUCUGCAACUGACGC